CGGGGGAUGGCUCAGUGGAAGAGCGCGGGUCGUAAUUUUGGCGUCCGUCCGCAGAGGCCCUACACGCCCUGGGUGCCCGAGGUCGCCGGUUCGAAUCCGGCUCUCCCGA
RNAcentral lists this transfer RNA (109 nucleotides) under Pyxidicoccus fallax. It matches the Rfam family "tRNA". Rfam says of the family: Transfer RNA (tRNA) molecules are approximately 80 nucleotides in length. Their secondary structure includes four short double-helical elements and three loops (D, anti-codon, and T loops). Further hydrogen bonds mediate the characteristic L-shaped molecular structure. tRNAs have two regions of fundamental functional importance: the anti-codon, which is responsible for specific mRNA codon recognition, and the 3' end, to which the tRNAs corresponding amino acid is attached (by aminoacyl-tRNA synthetases). tRNAs cope with the degeneracy of the genetic code in two manners: having more than one tRNA (with a specific anti-codon) for a particular amino acid; and 'wobble' base-pairing, i.e. permitting non-standard base-pairing at the 3rd anti-codon position. The record is from Rfam by way of RNAcentral. Lineage: Bacteria; Pseudomonadati; Myxococcota; Myxococcia; Myxococcales; Myxococcaceae.